UCUCCGUUGGUGAACCAGCGGAGGGAUCAUUACCGAGUUUUCCAACUCCCAAACCCUUCUGUGAACCUAUACCGACACGUUGCUUCGGCGGGAUCCCCCCGGCGCCCUCAGCGGCGGCCGGGCCCAGGCGCCCGCCGGAGGACCACACCAAACUCUUCAGAUUUUCUUCAUGCGUCUUCUGAGUGACACAAAAAAAAUGAAUCAAAACUUUCAACAACGGAUCUCCUGGUUCUG
Molecule: unclassified non-coding RNA, 234 nt
Filed under: plant metagenome
Description: partial contains small subunit ribosomal RNA, internal transcribed spacer 1, and 5.8S ribosomal RNA
Source: RNAcentral